GACGAACGCUGGCGGCGUGCUUAACACAUGCAAGUCGAACGGAAAGGCCCUGCUUUUGUGGGGUGCUCGAGUGGCGAACGGGUGAGUAACACGUGAGUAACCUGCCCUUGACUUUGGGAUAACUUCAGGAAACUGGGGCUAAUACCGGAUAGGAGCUCCUGCUGCAUGGUGGGGGUUGGAAAGUUUCGGCGGUUGGGGAUGGACUCGCGGCUUAUCAGCUUGUUGGUGGGGUAGUGGCUUACCAAGGCUUUGACGGGUAGCCGGCCUGAGAGGGUGACCGGCCACAUUGGUCCUGAGAUACGGCCCAGACUCCUACGGGAGGCAGCAGUGGGGAAUAUUGCACAAUGGGCGGAAGCCUGAUGCAGCAACGCCGCGUGCGGGAUGACGGCCCUCGGGUUGUAAACCGCUUUCGCCUGUGACGAAGCGUGAGUGACGGUAAUGGGUAAAGAAGCACCGGCUAACUACGUG
Molecule: ribosomal RNA, 468 nt
Filed under: uncultured bacterium
Lineage: Bacteria
Description: partial 16S ribosomal RNA
Rfam family: Bacterial small subunit ribosomal RNA
Source: RNAcentral